RNAcentral lists this ribosomal RNA (536 nucleotides) under uncultured Gammaproteobacteria bacterium. RNAcentral's name for it is "partial 16S ribosomal RNA". It matches the Rfam family "Bacterial small subunit ribosomal RNA", at positions 340 to 867 of the family's 1533-position model. Lineage: Bacteria; Pseudomonadati; Pseudomonadota; Gammaproteobacteria. The record is from RNAcentral.
UAUGGGAGGCACCACAGGGGAGUAUUGGGCAAAAUGGGCAAACGGGAUAUAUUUGAAAAACCAAGUGAAGAGAACCUUCGGGUUGUAAAACGCUUUUUUGUGGGAAGAAACCGGCCGGGUUAAUACCCCGGGGGAAUGACGGUACCCAAAGAAUAAACACCCCGUAAAUUUGUGCCACCACCCCCGGUAAUAUGAAGGGGGCAAGCGUUUUUUUGAAUUAUUGGGGGUAAAAAGUGCGUGGGGGGUUUUUUAAAUGUGAGGGGAAAGCCCUGGGCUCAACCCGGGAGAUCCGCUGGAUACAGUCCAGGUAGAGAGUGUGAGAGAGGGGGGGGGAAUUCGGUGUGUCGCUGAGAAAUGUGUAGAUAUGGAGGAACACCCCUGGGGAAAGGCGCCCAUCUGGGGCACCACUGACACUGAGGCACGAAAGCGUGGGGGGCAAACACGAUUAGAUACCCCGGUAGUUCCCGCCCUAAACGAUGGGAAAUGGACGUUGGGCACAGCUUAGCGCUCAGUGUCGAAGCUAACGCGUUAAGUAU